RNAcentral lists this unclassified non-coding RNA (2774 nucleotides) under Hevea brasiliensis (rubber tree). Lineage: Eukaryota; Viridiplantae; Streptophyta; Magnoliopsida; Malpighiales; Euphorbiaceae. The record is from RNAcentral.
UUUUGUUUAUUUGUUAAUGUUCAACGGUUAUGGUGAAACUCGCAAGCCUGGGUGUCUCAGCUAUUUUACAAAGCCGAGCUGGAGACCCAUAAUUAAAAAAGUAUAUAACAAGGCAUCAUGCAUGCGUGUUUGUCUAAAAUCUCAGCUCGGCUCAAUUUAGCUCGUUGGACAGCUGCCAUAGCCACGCUCCUUGUGACAUGACUGAUUAAUUGAACUUAAAGAUGCACUUACACGAGUAGUUGGUCUUACAAGUAAGCUGCACAGAAUAAUUAUUGCGGAGAAAAUUCAGAAACAGUGGUAGGUGUGGGCCUUGCUCUGAGAAAGAGGCAUCUGCGUCACAAAGGCCUUUUCCAAUUCAACAUGCUUCCAAUUGUUAUCCUAAAAUGUUUCAUCUUCAUUCCUUGUUCUUGUUCUCUAACAUUUGAAGCAUCUGAAAAGAUGGGCUUGCUCCAUCAAUACAGCAGCAGCAGUUCUUAGAUCUUUUUCUGUGUCUUUGUCUUUGUCUUUCUCUUUCCUUGUGCAAGAUGAGAUUUAACUUGUUACCUUACUUCUUCCCUAUAUGAAUAUUUUAUUUUGCUGUAAAACUCUCACAUAACGGAGAGAUGGCUUUCGCUAAUCGGCCUAAGAAGGAGACACCAAGAAUUGGAUUCAAGAAACCAAAGAAUAUGCUUCUUCCAGGAACUAGUCUUGCCUCUGUUGAAUCCUUAUCAGUCCCUCUUGUUUGUCUCUCUCUUUCUCCAUUUUUGCUGCUUUUUGCAGGUUGUUUAGGCUUAAAUGUUGCAUGAAAUUGUUAUGGAUUAUGACCUUGCGUUUGAUGCUUGUUGAGAACAGGUCCAGGAAGUUGUUCUUUCAGCAGAUAUUCGAUGUGCUGAAUGUCAAAAGAGAGUAGCUGAAAUAAUGUCAAGAAUGACCGAUACGGAAUCUGUGUCAGUUAACGUGUUGGAGAAGAAAGUAACUCUCACUUGUAGAUAUCCUGGUGUUAAAGUACCCACAAGCCGAGUUGCUGCUGUGUACAGGAAUCCUCUCAGCAAAAUUGCCAUGUUAAAGCGCAUUUUUCGCUCUGCCUGCAGCUGAUUACUUGUAUAAACAUUCCAACAUAUACAUUUUACAUCAGCCUAAUGUUCCCUGUUGAGGGCAUAGGCGUGGCCGUAUUAUCUUCCUCAAAUCUUAGCGGCAAGAAAACGAGUGUGUUAAUCAGGUUAAAUUAGUUGUACACAUAAUUGUCACAUAACAUUGAGGAAAUAAAAAAGAAAGGGAAAGUACAGAACCGUAUUGUGGUUUAUGCUAUUUUCAAGCAGAGUAUUAUGGUUUAGGUUUUAACAAAUUGAUACCUGUUAUUAAGUUGGUCAGAAGAUAAUGUCCAAACACCGUAAAGCCAUUAAUGACUGCUGAAAUAGCAGGCAGAAAAAUAGUGUCAUAUCAGCAGCCAUUAACGGGGUUAGUAUGUUUGGAUUUUCUUUAUUAACAUACUUAAUAACAGGUACUGGUUUGUCAAAAUUAAACCGUAUGUUUCUUUUUGGUACUUGGAUAAAAAAAUGUGAGAGAGUAAUUGAACAGUUGUAGGAUACCUGUAAUUUCACAAUUAUAGUGAAAGCUUGAUUGAAAAUCUCUGUAGAAUAAAGAUUUUAUUUCCCUGAGUGGUUAAACAGCAACAUCUACCUGACCUGUCUUUGUAAUUGUAAAACUUUUCUGUCUUCAGAGCAAUUAAAUGAAGGUAAGAUAAUGGUAAGAUGGCUUAAAUUUUGUGCAACAUAGCCUUUGCAAACAAGAAAUGGAUGCUUCAUGAUAGGUCAUGAAGUAAAACAAAGCAUGGGACAACCGGAAAGGAAUGCUUUAUCUAUAACUGCGCGGGAAAUAAACAAAGCUCAAAAAUGAAGUUAGGGAUAGUAAACCAAAUGUGACAAACAAAACCCCCUUUUUAAGCCCAAGCAGAAUCAGAUUCCAAAAUCAAAGUGAAGAAUUUCCCGCAGACAAUCCAAAAGUAGAGGUAUCAUCUGAUUCUUGAAAUUCCCCAAAUCCAACAUUUCCUUCUCAAUUCUGAUUACCAUCCUUUUAGCCACUAUAUCAACCAAUCAUUGAUCUAAUGUCUGUUCACAGCUUCAGGCAAGCAAAGACAAGGCAAACAGGAUCUUCAUAUGACUUGUUGCAUGGUGGUGAGAAUUAACCUCGACUGCAAUGCUUGCUGCAGGAAAGCAAGGAAAAUUAUUCUCAACAUGAAAGAGAUAGAGACACACAUGAUUGCUAAGCAGGAAUGCAGGAUAGUUGUAUGCGGGAGAUUCAUACCUGCGGAUGUGGCAAUAAAGUUGAGAAAGAAGAUGAACCGCAGGGUGGAAAUAAUGGAAAUCCAGGAGAUGGGUGGUGAUGGUGACACAACUGAAGAAUCAAGGCCAAUAAUCCAUGGCUCUUAAAAUCUGAUAUAGCCUGCACAAAUCAUAUUGCUGGACGUCUGGAAGCUCACAGCCACUUGUGAUUGUGGUUUAUGGCAGGAAAAUUGCGGAAAAAUUAAAUGAAAAUGUGCUUUAGAAGUAAAUCCUUGUAAAAUCUGAACAGCAAAUGGAGCAGAUGCAAAAGAAUGGUAAAAAAUCAGCACUGUAUUACAAACCAACAUAGAUUGUAGUUAAAUAGCAGUGUUGAAAUUAUUAUUUUGGUCUUAUCAAAAUUUUAAGAAUGCCAAUUUAUUUGAUCAAAGUAGUGAUUUAACUUAGGUUUGAAUUUGUAUAUAAGGCAAGAACUCAAGUUCAGCUUAAAAUGACAAGAUAUUCUCCGCAAAAGCG